GUAAAUCGAAGAGGCGCAGCCAACAAGAGUAACGAUUUGGAGUUUUUCUCAACGAGGAAGAAUUGCGAAAGGGGAGGUUGCCGAAGCGAUCAUGGAUGAGAAUUAAAUGAUCAGCUGGGUCGGCGCAGAAGAUGCGUCGGACUGUCGUAGGACAAUAAGAGCCUGCGGUGCGCUAUCGACUUUA
This is a regulatory RNA element of 184 nucleotides. It matches the Rfam family "Lysine riboswitch aptamer". Rfam says of the family: Riboswitches are metabolite binding domains within certain messenger RNAs that serve as precision sensors for their corresponding targets. Allosteric rearrangement of mRNA structure is mediated by ligand binding, and this results in modulation of gene expression. The record is from Rfam.